Molecule: long non-coding RNA, 1916 nt
Organism: Homo sapiens (human)
Lineage: Eukaryota; Metazoa; Chordata; Mammalia; Primates; Hominidae
Product: long intergenic non-protein coding RNA 1270
Source: Ensembl
ACAAGGCAGGGCCCAGAGGGGUGCGUGGGGGCCGCAGCCCAGCCCCCAAGCCCCGCCAGCGGCCGACAAGGGAGGUGCCAUGUGGACUGUUUCACAGCUGGAGAAACUGAGGCACAGAGGGGCUGAGUCACCUGCCUAACGCACUGAGCAGUCUGGCUCCAGGACCUGUGCUCUGAACCAGCACCUGGCACAUAGCUGGCACCGACAUGGUCUCCGUGCACUGCCAUGGAUGAGAGCAAUGCUGGCUGCGGUGUCGGGCGGAGCUGGGUUCCAAUGCUGACUUCACCUUUCUCAGGCUGCACAGCCUGGAGCACGUGGCUGCACCCUACCGUGCGUCAGUUUCCUCACCUGUGAAGGGUGAUCGUGGUGGUCCUGAUCUUGCAGAACUGCAGUGAGGGCUGUGAGUGUGGGGUGUCUCAACUGCACCUGGACACGCAGAAGGCACUCUGUGAACACUGACUUUCAUUGGCCCAGGCCUCUGAAUCCAUGACAGUUCAAUCUCUGAACCCCACAGCUUCCUCCUUCACCCUUUGCCGCCCCAGGGCAAGCUUUACUGGGGUGUAACAAACACACGAUAAACUGCGCAUAUUCCAGUGUUCAUGUGGAUGAGUUUGGACAUAUGCACACACUUCCGAAACCACCAGCACAAUCAAGACAGCAGACAUAUCCAUCGCCCCCAAGGGUGUCCUUGUGUCUUUUUGUCAUUCAUCCCUCCCGGCCGCCCCAUCCACACUCCCAUCGCCUGCCGACUGUGGCUGAUCUGCUUUCUGCGGCUGUGGAUUAGUUUGCGUUCUCUACAAUUUUCUGAAGCACCAGUUAGCCCAGAUGCUUCUCAUCUUUGGAGUUGAGCUGCAGGCUGGAGACCUGGAAGGCCCUCGCAGCGCCUGCUCCCAUCCUCUCACCUCACGAAAGCGCAGGAAUGUGGGUUUGGAGCCAAUGAAAAGUACUGGAAUCUGGCUCUGCUCUGUGACCCUGGACAAGUCACUGCCCCUCUCUGGGCUUCAGUUUCCUCCUUGGUAACACAGAAUGAUUAUACCUACCCCUUGGGUUUGUUGACCUGAAUCUACCCCUCAGUCAUUGCCUUUCCUUCUUGCUGCAGCCACACUGGCCCCUUGACAGUUCCUUGAACACAACAAGCCCUUUCCCACCUCAGGGCCUUUGCAUGUGCAGUGCCAGAUGCCUGGAAUGUCCUUCCUUCCAAUCUCCCCAUGGCCGGCUCAUUCUCAUCUUUCUUGGCUCAAAUGUUACCUCCCCAACCUAGACAGCACCGCUGCCACCUCUUCACCCCGUCUUACUCUUCUUCAAGCACUUCUGGAGGUAUCUUGCUAUUUAUCUUGUUUAUAUCUUUUUCAGCUCCAUGAGGGCAGGGGAUUUUGUCUGUUUCAUUCACAAUGUGUUCCCAGAGCUCAGCACAGUGUCAGGCACACACUAGGUGAGUAAGAAACAAUUGCUUCCUCUACCUCUUCCCCUGCUAGCCCCAAGUUCAGCUAACUGGCUGUGUGACCCUGGGGAUUGCUUUUCACCUCUCUGGUCCCUUAUUCUCCCUUGUGGACAAAGGAUGGCCUGGGCAUGAGUUUCUUCAAGGACUCGGGUAGCAGUGAAAUCCCUGGGACCCUAGCCUCAGUACCUCCCCAGGCAAUGGGGUAGAGAGCAAGAAGGCAGGUGAGCAAGGACCAGCCUCCGCCACGCAGACACCCUCUUUCCGGCUUCUCUGUCCUCCUACUUUGCCCUGGGUUUGUGGACUUACUCUGGGCAGAUCUCCACGACCAACCACCCCCUCCCUUGGCAUGUCUGUCAGCACCCUUGGGGGAAAGAAUUUGGAAAGGGGAGGGAGAAAAAGAAAGCAGGGUGCGAGGGGCUGGUUCCCACACCUGUGUAAAUAAUUUGUCAUCUUAAAAUGCUCAAGUAUGCUCACC